GAGCUCGGUUAGGGCCUCACUUCCCUGCUUCCACACCUCAGGGAGGCCUCGGUGAUUUUGCCAGAGCCUCAGCCUCCAUCGCUCUGUAACCUGCGGGUAUUGGAUGAUUCGUAGCUAAGACUUCGCGACACCCUUGAAGCUGAGAAAUGGAACCCUUAACAUUCAGGGAUGUGGCCAUAGAAUUCUCUCCAGAAGAGUGGAAAUGCCUGGACCCUGCCCAGCAGAAUUUGUAUAGAGAUGUGAUGUUGGAGAACUACAGAAACCUGGUCUCCCUAGGUGUCUGGAAAUGAAGUAUGGAAAUGAAAUCAUGAAUAAAGACCCAGUUUUCAGAAUCUCUCCACGAAGUAGAGGAACUCAUACCAAUCCAGAAGAGCCUGAAGAAGAUGUUCAAGCUGAAAGAGUCCAAGCAGCAAAUGCACUCACUACUCCAAACUUGGAGGAGGAACCAGUCAUAACUGCAAGCUGUUUACACAAGGAAUAUUAUGAGACAAAGAAAGUUGCUUUUCAACAACAAAGAAGAAAGCAGCCAUCAGAAAUGUUUCGUUUUGUGUUAAAAAGUGAAGUUUUGGGAUUACUAGGACACAAUGGAGCUGGCAAAAGUACUUCCAUUAAAAUGAUAACUGGGUGCACAGUGCCAACUGCAGGAGUGGUGGUGUUACAAGGCAACAGAGCAUCAGUAAGGCAACAGCGUGACAACAGCCUCAAGUUCUUGGGUACUGCCCUCAGGAGAACUCACUGUGUCCCAAACUUACAAUGAAAGAGCAUUUGGAGUUGUAUGCAGCCGUGAAAGGACUGGGCAAAGAUGCUGCUCUUAGUAUUUCAUGAUUGGUGGAAGCUCUCAAGCUCCAGGAGCAACUUAAGGCUCCCGUGAAAACUCUAUCAGAGGGAAUAAAGAGAAAGCUAUGCUUCGUGCUGAGCAUACUGGGGAACCCAUCAGUGGUGCUUCUAGACGAGCUGUUCACCGGGAUGGACCCUGAGGGGCAGCAGCAAAUGUGGCAGAUACUUCAGGCUACCAUUAAAAACCAGGAGAGGGGCGCCCUCUUGACCACCCAUUACAUGUCAGAGGCUAAGUCUCUGUGUGACCGUGUGGCCAUCAUGGUGUCAGGAACGCUAAGGUGUAUUGGUUCCAUUCAACAGCUGAAAAGUUUGGUAAAGAUUAUUUACUAGAAAUAAAAAUGAAAGAACCUACUCAGGUGGAAGCUCUCCACACAGAGAUUUUGAAGCUUUUCCCACAGGCUGCUUGGCAGGAAAGAUAUUCCUCUUUAAUGGCAUGUAAGUUACCUGUGGAGGAUGUCCACCCUCUGUCUCAGGCCUUUUUCAAAUUAAAGGCAGUGAAACAGACCUUCAACCUGGAGGAAUACAGCCUCUCUCAGGCUACCUUGGAGCAGGUGUUCUUAGAACUCUGUAAAGAGCAGGCGCUGGGAAAUGUUGAUGAUAAAAUUGAUAUAACAGUUCGAUGGAAACUUCUCCCACGGGAAGAUUCUUAAAACGAAGAACCUCCUAACAUUCAAUUUUAAGUCCUACUGCAUUAUUAGUUUCCAUAAUUCUACAAGAAUGUUUCCUUUUACUUCAGUUAACAAAAGAAAAUAUUCAAUAGUUUAAACAUGCAACAAUGAUUAAAGUUUUCAUUUUUAAAAAUUUUAGGAUGAAGGAAACAAGGAAAUAUAGGGAAAAGUAGCAGACAAAAUUAACAAACUCAGACAUGUUAUUCAUCCCCAACAUGGGUCUAUUUUGUGCUUAAAAAUAAUUUUAAAAUCAUAAAAUAUUAGGUUUGUUUUUGGUUAUUAUCAAUAAAGUUAACACUGAGCACAUUUU
Long non-coding RNA from Homo sapiens (human), 1815 nucleotides. Ensembl annotates it as ATP binding cassette subfamily A member 11, pseudogene. Its record names the gene ABCA11P. Lineage: Eukaryota; Metazoa; Chordata; Mammalia; Primates; Hominidae. The record is from Ensembl.